Lytechinus variegatus (green sea urchin) is the source of this 481-nucleotide long non-coding RNA. RefSeq lists it as uncharacterized. NCBI's taxonomy places the organism in Eukaryota, Metazoa, Echinodermata, Echinoidea, Temnopleuroida, Toxopneustidae. The transcript has 3 exons. The record is from RefSeq and is a predicted model, not a curated record.
GAUGCGUGAACGGUGGGACAUGUGUCCCUUUUGAGAGAGGCUCUAUCUGCAUUUGUCCCGAUGGCUUCAGUGGAUCAAAGUGUGAUUCUAGAUCGAAGUAUGCACCCCUCAUUUUCAUCUGUGACGAGGAAGCCGGAACCAUCUUAGAGGGCAGUGCAGAUACCUUGCAGUUUAGUCCUUUGCCGAUCCCCAAUGGACACAGACCCGUAGCAGUAGGGUAUAGCCCCGAAGAAGACUUCAUCUUCUGGGUGGAUGCUCGAAACGGCACACUUAAUCGAGCUUUCCGAAACGGAUCUGAUCACGUUGUACUUGGGAAUACAUUUUCGGAUAUUACCGAUCUUACGAUCCAUCAACAUUCUCAAAUACUUGGAUACAUCGUAACACAGACCAAUUUAAUACUCCAGCAAGGCUUCGAUGUAGCUUCUACUAGUAAGACUAUCUACAAUGGAGUUAGCGAUCUGGCGUCUGUGUGCUUUCAUCC